RNAcentral lists this ribosomal RNA (454 nucleotides) under uncultured bacterium. RNAcentral describes it as "bacterial SSU rRNA". It matches the Rfam family "Bacterial small subunit ribosomal RNA", at positions 34 to 507 of the family's 1533-position model. The record is from RNAcentral.
CGCUGGCGGCGUGCCUAACACAUGCAAGUCGAACGAGGUCCAUCCUUCGGGAGAAGACCUAGUGGCGAACGGGUGAGUAACACGUGAGGAACCUGCCCCGAAGACCGGGAUAACCCUCCGAAAGGAGAGCUAAUACCGGAUACCCCCACCGAACCGCAUGGUUUGGUGAGGAAAUGGAUUCCGCUUCGGGAGGGCCUCGCGGCCUAUCAGCUAGUUGUGGGGUAACGGCCCACCAAGGCAUCGACGGGUAGCUGGUCUGAGAGGACGAUCAGCCACACUGGGACUGAGACACGGCCCAGACUCCUACGGGAGGCAGCAGUGGGGAAUCUUGCGCAAUGGGCGAAAGCCUGACGCAGCAACGCCGCGUGGGGAUGAAGGCUCUCGGGUUGUAAACCCCUUUCAGCAGGGACGAAUCAAGACGGUACCUGCAGAAGAAGCCCCGGCUAACUACGUG